Molecule: ribosomal RNA, 776 nt
Filed under: uncultured Neocallimastigales
Lineage: Eukaryota; Fungi; Neocallimastigomycota; Neocallimastigomycetes; Neocallimastigales
Description: partial large subunit ribosomal RNA
Rfam family: Eukaryotic large subunit ribosomal RNA
Source: RNAcentral
CGAGCACGCGCGUGUGGCAUAUCAAUAAGCGGAGGAAAAGAAACUAACAAGGAUUCCCUUAGUAACGGCGAGUGAAGCGGGAAGAGCUCAAAUUUGAAAUCUUCAAGGUUCUACCUUGACGAAUUGUAGUUUAUAGAAGUGUUUUCUGUUAGUGGAGAUGGCAAAAGUUCUUUGGAAUAGGACAUCAUAGAGGGUGAGAAUCCCGUAUUUGGUCAUUCCUCCUAGCGUUGUGAUACACUUUCAACGAGUCGGAUUGUUUGGGAAUGCAGUCCAAAAUGGGUGGUAAAUUUCAUCUAAAGCUAAAUAUUGGCGAGAGACCGAUAGCGAACAAGUACCGUGAGGGAAAGAUGAAAGGAACUUUGAAAAGAGAGUUAAACAGUACGUGAAAUUGUCAAAAGGGAAGCGUUUGACACCAGUGUUGUUUUUCCGAAAAUCAAUUACGAAUGUUUUGUUUUUGAGGAGUUAUGACUUCAUCGGCUUGCUCCUUUCUUUACGAAACUUUCUUAAUGCACUUUUCGGUUAACAAGUCAACAUCAAUUUCUUUUGUUGUAAAAGGGUAUGAGGAAGGUGGCUUUCUUUUCGGAGAAAGUGUUUAUAGCCUUGUAGCCUCUACAAUCGGAGAGAUUGAGGUCUGCAGCGUAGAUCCUUCGGGGUUAGAUACGUUUGUGCUAAGUUAUAGCUUUUCAUAGACAACUUGUUGACUAUGUUUAGUCUUGUAGCUUACUCGCUGAUGCUACUUUACCUACGCUUAGGAUGUUGAACUCUAUCACACACAG